AUUGAACGCUGGCGGCAGACCUAACACAUGCAAGUCGAACGGUAACAGGAAGCAGCUUGCUGCUUUGCUGACGAGUGGCGGACGGGUGAGUAAUGUCUGGGAAACUGCCCGAUGGAGGGGGAUAACUACUGGAAACGGUAGCUAAUACCGCAUAACGUCGCAAGACCAAAGAGGGGGACCUUAGGGCCUCUUGCCAUCGGAUGUGCCCAGAUGGGAUUAGCUAGUAGGUGGGGUAACGGCUCACCUAGGCGACGAUCCCUAGCUGGUCUGAGAGGAUGACCAGCCACACUGGAACUGAGACACGGUCCAGACUCCUACGGGAGGCAGCAGUGGGGAAUAUUGCACAAUGGGCGCAAGCCUGAUGCAGCCAUGCCGCGUGUAUGAAGAAGGCCUUCGGGUUGUAAAGUACUUUCAGCGGGGAGGAAGGGAGUAAAGUUAAUACCUUUGCUCAUUGACGUUACCCGCAGAAGAAGCACCGGCUAACUCCGUG
RNAcentral lists this ribosomal RNA (490 nucleotides) under uncultured bacterium. RNAcentral describes it as "partial 16S ribosomal RNA". It matches the Rfam family "Bacterial small subunit ribosomal RNA", at positions 30 to 507 of the family's 1533-position model. The record is from RNAcentral.